This 174-nucleotide small RNA is filed under the name Enterococcus rivorum. Its description in RNAcentral is "Magnesium sequence". It matches the Rfam family "M-box riboswitch aptamer (ykoK leader)". Rfam says of the family: M-box riboswitch, also know as ykoK leader is described as a metaloregulatory RNA that sense divalent metals and function as a genetic control element of genes related to divalent metal transport in bacteria. It was first reported upstream of the B.subtilis ykoK gene and genes with related functions in other bacteria. Phylogenetic analysis of the distribution of M-box RNAs across bacterial genomes revealed that M-box riboswitches are most often employed for the regulation of Mg2+ transporter genes Lineage: Bacteria; Bacillati; Bacillota; Bacilli; Lactobacillales; Enterococcaceae. The record is from Rfam by way of RNAcentral.
AUAAAGAUUUGUUAGGUGAGGCUCCUAUACAAACACAGGCUACUGCCCAAAAAUGUCGAGAGACGCCAAUGGGUAGAACAGGGAUUGUCGAUUACAAGGCUUUUCAUAAGGUAGCUAAAAGCUUUUAUGCUUUUUACGUUGUAUAGUGCCAAAACUCAACGAUUAGAUCAUAAG